This 253-nucleotide ribosomal RNA is filed under the name uncultured bacterium. RNAcentral's name for it is "partial 16S ribosomal RNA". It matches the Rfam family "Bacterial small subunit ribosomal RNA", at positions 524 to 776 of the family's 1533-position model. The record is from RNAcentral.
UACGAAGGGUGCAAACGUUGCUCGGAAUUAUUGGGCGUAAAGCGCACGUAGGCGGCUUUGCAAGUCGGAUGUGAAAGCCCUCGGCUCAACCAAGGAAGUGCAUCCGAAACUGCAGAGCUUGAGUACUUAAGAGGAUCGCGGAAUUCCCGGUGUAGAGGUGAAAUUCGUAGAUAUCGGGAGGAACACCAGUGGCGAAGGCGGCUCACUGGCCCGGUACUGACGCUGAGGUGCGAAAGCGUGGGGAGCAAACAGG